Molecule: long non-coding RNA, 2571 nt
Organism: Dermochelys coriacea (leatherback sea turtle)
Lineage: Eukaryota; Metazoa; Chordata; Testudines; Dermochelyidae
Exons: 2
Source: RefSeq, a predicted model, not a curated record
UGAAACCUGCAGUGAAGAGUAUGGACCAUCUUCAAUAGGUAACUCAUAGACUUUGAAUUGUCUCCAAGGUAUUCAGUUCAGUUCUGUUUGAUCUUUAAAGAACCACAUUCACUAGAGGCAGCGUGUUUUUUUUCUCUUGUCCUUAAAUGGUCCCUUAGGCUAGAUUUCACUCUGUACUCAGUGGAUACAGUAAUUCAUGUGCUGCGAAAGAGCUGGUGCUUGUUGUAACUUAGCAAGGGUGUAUGAUGCACUCCUACUUGUGAUUGUCAUGCCCAGGGAUCAGUCAUUGUGGGUGAAGGCCCAGGUGCCCUUUGAACAGGUAGCAGAAGUUGUCCUCACUGUAUUUCCAAAAGUAUGUUUGUUUUGGAUACUACUUUGGAUACUUUUCAUGGACUGCUGUAGUGACCUGUAAAUCCAUCUCACCGGGGGGCAAGAAGCCUUUGAAUGGGAAACGCCCAUCUUCCCCUCUAUAGAUGGAGAAGGGGACGGAAACAUUCACACACGCACUCUGUCUGGUGGUUAGAGCACAGAGGUAUAAUCCCAGCUCUGAUGCUGACUCCUGCUCUGGCCCACAGCAAGUCACUUUAAAAACUGUGCCUCUGUUUCCCCCGCUGUAUUUAAGAUGCUUUAUUUACAAUACAUGGUGCUGUUCAAUUUGAGAUCUGUGUUGAGGUGGUUGUCGUCUCUCUGUGACAGUAACAAAAUAAACUUUCACACUGUGGUGCCAGUUGAUAGGAGAAAGCGUACCUGGUUCUGACUGGAGGAGUCUGGGAAUUUUUCAAUGUCAGAGACGAAAGUGAUGGGCAGGAAUUGGGAUGUAGCUGCCUGCUGCAGAGUUUUGGAUCACUUUAAUUCCACUGGCCCCAGACGUGAUGCGUUGUCAUAAACACCCUGCUUUAGAUUAUCCUUUGUGUGCUUAGCAAUGCUCUCAUUUGUCAUCCUCUUGUGAUUUGAAAGCGUCAGAUAUGGAUAUACCUCUCUGUGGACAGAAUCUAUUACAUGUCUCUGCCAAGCAGAACCAUGUUGCCUGUUUUAUUUCCCCUCCUGUCUCAAACAUGCAAUCUGUUCUUUGUCAGUGCUCAGCUAGACACAUUGUUGAGCACCAGUGGGACUCCCUCUGCAAAGAGUGGGUCCUGUAGCUGCUUCUCUUCUUAAUUUCAUUAUCCAUCUCUAAUGAGUUUUUAAUGUCUUAGCUGAAUUUAUGGUGCUGAGGACUUCAUGCACUUUCAGUUUCUCUGGCAGCUUGGCAGGAGAGUUUGACUGAUGGGGUCCCAGGUUCUUCACGACCUAGAGGAGAACUAGCCUCCAGGGUUGCAAAUGACACAGGAUCUGUGUUUGCCAUUAGCAGGUUCCUUUGGAGAGUGAGUGACAGAGCUUUCAGCUAUACUUACUGAGUUGUAGUCCUAAAUUAUAGUAAUUACAGGUUCUUGCUCCAUGAAAAAGUAAAUAGAGAAUAGGACAGCAAUUGUACAUACAGUUUUGCCCCUCUAUGUCCUAUAUUUUUCUUUCUGUCCACUUGCGAGCAGGUGCCUUUCCUGAGCUGCUGUGCAAACACCAUCUACGCACAAUGUUAAAUCCAAAUCUUUACGCUUCAUGGGGUUUGACUUCAUUAACUAAGACGUGAGCAGUAACACAACAAGAUUUAACUCAAACCUCCUCCACAGGCAUGGCUGCUCCCAGGGGUCCUUUCUCAGAAAUGUUCAGCCCACACCCUAGGUCCUGUCCCUCAGAGAGCCACUCUCAUUUCCCUUGGAUUCAGGUGGGAUAAAAAGCCAUCUGCCUCAGUGAGUCUAAUCCAUUUAACACUUUCUCUGCACGAUUUAGCACAUGCUAUCUGGGUGGAGUGUCUCAGGCAAACACUGCCAACUUGUUACAGCUAAUCUGUCUUCUGCUGCCAGUCUCUAGGGUAUUGCUCUCCUGUCUCCAUUUUCCCAAAGAGUGGCUCCUAGAAAUAGCACACGGAUCGUAGGGGUAGGGGUACAGCAGCCUGGGAGCUGUUUGUGAGGGGCACACUCACUCAUGUCAGUUUUAAUAGUCAGUUGAACAUAUGCUGUUUCUAUUAGUCAGUAAAUCUGUCAGGAGAAGAGUUGAGACAUUCCAAAGUUUAAAAGUAAUUAAAGUCUGAGUAGUUCAUAAAGCAGGAUGCAGCCUUAGGUGCCCUGGCGAGGCACUGAAUGUUGCAGGUACUUGAUAAAAAGAAUCCAGACGUUCAGGAAAACAACGUGGACCUUCUCUAGAGUAUAUCCUAGAGACACAAAGAACAAAUAAGGCACUUGCAGCUUAUUCCUCUGGGGAUGAAUGCAAGAUAGUUCUCUACUGCAUGUUCUCCGCUGUGUUGUCCAGAGUGGUUUUAAAUGUCCUCGCAUCAUGGGGCUUCAACUAUUUCCCUAGGUGACUAAUUCAGAGUCUAAUAGUUCUUGCUGUUUGGAAAUGCUUCCUGAUGUCCAACCCAGUUUUUCCUUUCAGCUUAAUUGCCUCCUGUCUAAUUUCCUGCUUCACCUUCCUGGAUUCUGUAGAAUAACAAACCAUGAUUGCAGACACUAGUCACUGGUGAUGAGCAGCCACAGGCUC